Long non-coding RNA from Pogoniulus pusillus (Red-fronted tinkerbird), 2562 nucleotides. RefSeq lists it as uncharacterized. The transcript is spliced from 3 exons. The record is from RefSeq and is a predicted model, not a curated record. Lineage: Eukaryota; Metazoa; Chordata; Aves; Piciformes; Lybiidae.
GGUCAGCUGCUGCCUACCAUAGCAUCACCUGCAGCAGCACUGGCUCCAGUGCCCACCAGCAACAGAGCUGACUGACAUCCAGAGAAGCACCUCAGGACUUCUGCCUGAAGAAAAAAUGGAAGGGGAAAAUGCUCUUUGCAGAUGUCACUGAAGCUGUGUGUCAACUCAUCCUGCCUCUUUCUGCAACUCACAAUAAAGGCUUUUUUUGGGGUGUGAUUUCUUCAGGAGGGUGUUGAACUGCUGAAUACUUUAGAUGAAACUACCUACGACAAAGCAGGACUGAUCAUUACCUGGAUCAACCGAACAGGGUUCUGCAUAGUAUCUUCUCCCCCAAAGAGGUAGACCCUCUGAUCUUUGGCAGCAACAGCAGGGUGAAGGACAGCAACAGGCAUGUUUGCCAUGCUCUCACAGAUGUUGUAAACACUAUCAUAUCUUUCCACAGAGUUCAGGAUUUCUUGGUUUUUGCCUAUUCCACCGAAUGAUAAGAUAUAAUUUUUGUAUGCCAAGCUUCUGUGGGAGUAACGUGCAAUUAACAUGUGCUCAACCAACCUCCACUGAUUGAGUUUAAGGGAGUAAAUGUAAAUAUUAUCACUGACUGGGCUUUUCUUAUUGCUAACGGGCAUCCCUCCGAGCACAUAAAUAUUGCUGUGCAAGCUCACUGCAGAGGCUUUGUACAGGCGCAUGGGAAGCUUGGCCAGGCUUAGCCACUGGUUCGUCUUGUCAUCAUAGAGCAGGACAUCUCUUGUCGUCUGCUGGCUGUCCUUCCUGCCACCAAUGAUGACGAGGAACUCUUGGCUGGAGUACCUGCGAGGGACAUGCAGCAUGGGCUUGAUGUCAGGCACACUGGUGCUAUACAAGGAAAACAUAUGUCUCCAGGCUGACUCCAGGAUGCUCCUGCAAGUGGGUGAGGACUGAAUAAGGGAGUCAUUGGCAAUGAAGUGGAAGAGGAAAGUUGGAUGGACGUAUUGAAGCCGGACCUUCUUGAACAACUCUUGGAUAUAGCCUUGUCUUGCCUGGAGGUCAUGCCGGAUCCAGACCAUCAGUGCCUCAAAGACCUGCUCUUCUUCCCCACAGAGCUCAUCAUCCCCAAGGUAAUCAAUGAGCUCCAAGGGACAAAGGUCCUUCAGUUCCUCAGAAGAGGCCACCUGAGGAAAGCAUUUCAAAGCCAUAGCCUUGGCUUUCUGAUUUAGGCUUUGGCAGUUCAAGACCUUUGCCAAUCUGAUCAUGCUCAGACAGUUGUCAGGAGUCAGCUUGUCUUGGAGGUAGGCAGAGCAGGCCUCAAACAGUUUAUCAUACUGAAGCAUGGAGGCUGUCUCCAGCAGACACAGGACAUUCUCAGUAGAUAUAAGAAUCUGCCCUGUGUAAAUGUAAAGGACAAUCUGAUCCAAAAUCUCAGCAUCAAUGCCCUUCAGGAUGACUUUAGCCUGAUGACUCUCUCUGAAGUCAUUACAGAACAUUGCCUUGAAGUACGGACUGCUGGAAGCCAGCACGUUUCGGUGGCAGGGGAUUUCAAAGCCCCCGGAGCAGAGGGUAACAUCAGUCAGCAUCCUGCUCUGACGCAGAGCAUUCAGCUGCAUCAGCAGUUCAGAGGAGAAGUCUUGGUCUUUGAAGAGAAGCUCCUCAGUGGAUCCCUCCUCCAUAGCAAAACAGGAGAGAGACGAAUUCCGGGCUUGGCAGAAAAAGCUAAAUUCUUAGCAGCUUUUAUUGGACUAUCCAGAUCCAAGGGAGCACAUCGAGACUUUGAUGUUGCUCUAGAUAUCUCUUCACUGUUAUGAAUUAAAAUGGAACACGAGUUAAGCACAGUGGGAAAAUAAUAAAGAAGCCAAAAGGUCGUUAAGACCCUUUAAAUUUUUCAUAACUGUAUCAGAUAGGUUUGAGCUCUGAGGUCAGCACUGCCUGUGUCCCUGGCAAGAAGCAAAAGCACUGAAGUUAUCUCACUGACUUGAGAUGAAAGCUGGACAGCUGAAGCCAAUGGUUUGUUCAUUUUCAUCACGUUGAAUAAACGCAUUUAGACAUUUAUUCACCGCUUUAACGUAUUAGCAGUUUAGUAGCUUGCGCCUCUUUCCCCUAGAGUUAGUCACUCCCAAAGAAUGUCAAUCUGGCAAAGCCGAGCCCUGCAGCAGGACAAACGAAACCCUGGAGAUGGGGGAUCUGCAUUAAAACGGUUAUUUAUUAACUCGGCUCAGCUGUGGGGGGUUUUCUAUGUUAAUCAGACACACGAUGAGUAAAUUAACUACCAGGCAGAACAAUAUGAUGCGUAUCCAUUGUCACGGCUAACUUGCUCGACCUGCAGUGAAACGGUCACUCUGUGGAGAAAGCAAGGACUGCUUUAGAAGAGUGGGAUGUGCUUUGAGUAGAUGCCCUGCUCCUACAAAAUCCUCUAGGGUCUGAUCCAAAGUCCAGCACACUCAGUGGGAGGAGGAGAGGAGAAAGCAGAUUUAAAAAUCUUGGAGGCCUUUCAGUUUAACAUUUGGAUUUGAGAGCUGAUGUGAGCCAUUACAGAUCGCAGGGUACCCUACCUCAGCCCUGGUCACAAGGAUGCGGAUCAAGGUCUCUUCAUCA